RNAcentral lists this ribosomal RNA (441 nucleotides) under uncultured Cryptanaerobacter sp. Its description in RNAcentral is "bacterial SSU rRNA". It matches the Rfam family "Bacterial small subunit ribosomal RNA", at positions 942 to 1382 of the family's 1533-position model. The record is from RNAcentral. Lineage: Bacteria; Bacillati; Bacillota; Clostridia; Eubacteriales; Desulfotomaculaceae.
UGGUUAAUUCGAAGCAACGACGAAGAACCUUACCAGGUCUUGACAUCCCGAUGCUAUUUCUAGAGAUAGAAAGUUACUUCGGUACAUCGGUGACAGGUGGUGCAUGGUUGUCGUCAGCUCGUGUCGUGAGAUGUUGGGUUAAGUCCCGCAACGAGCGCAACCCCUACGUUUAGUUGCUAACGUGUAACGAUGAGCACUCUAGGCGGACUGCCGUUGACAAAACGGAGGAAGUGGGGAUGACGUCAAAUCAUCAUGCCCCUUAUGUUCUGGGCUACACACGUGCUACAAUGGCCGGUACAAAGGGACGCAAAGCCGCGAGGUGGAGCAAAUCCGAUAAAAGCCGGUCUCAGUUCGGAUUGCAGGCUGCAAUUCGCUUGCAUGAAGUCGGAAUCGCUAGUAAUCGCAGGUCAGCAUACUGCGGUGAAUACGUUCCCGGGCCUU